Molecule: ribosomal RNA, 634 nt
Filed under: uncultured bacterium
Lineage: Bacteria
Description: bacterial SSU rRNA
Rfam family: Bacterial small subunit ribosomal RNA
Source: RNAcentral
CCUACGGGAGGCAGCAGUGGGGAAUUUUGGACAAUGGGGGAAACCCUGAUCCAGCCAUGCCGCGUGGGUGAAGAAGGCCUUCGGGUUGUAAAGCCCUUUCGGGAGGAAAGAAAAGCAUUGCUCUAACAUAGCAAUGUGAUGACGGUACCUCCAUAAGAAGCACCGGCUAACUACGUGCCAGCAGCCGCGGUAAUACGCGUAGGGUGCAAGCGUUAAUCGGAAUUCUGGGCGUAAAGCGUGCGCAGGCGGCUAGAUAAGCCAGAUGUGAAAUCCCCGAGCUCAACUUGGGAAUUGCGUUUGGAACUGUCUAGCUAGAGUUUGGCAGAGGGGGGAGAAUUCCACCGGUAGCAGUGAAACUGUNUAAAGCGUGGAGAGGAACCGAUAUUGCAGACAGCGAAGGCAGCCCCCUGGGCUAAAACUGACGCUCAUGCACGAAAGCGUGGGGAGCAAACAGGAUUAGAUACCCUGGUAGUCCACGCCCUAAACGAUGUCAACUGGUUGUUGGGAGGGUAAACCUCUUAGUAACGAAGCUAACGCGAGAAGUUGACCGCCUGGGGAGUACGGUCGCAAGAUUAAAACUCAAAGGAAUUGACGGGGACCCGCACAAGCGGUGGAUUAUGUGGAUUAAUUCGAU